ACAACUUAAAAUUGAAUAAAAAUUUAAAUAUACAUGUCCUUCAACAAGCAACAUUCUCAACAUGACAAAAAUACAUGUCUACAUGUCUCAACAUGAAAACAAAUACAUGUCUGCUUUUGGCCUUAAGUCUUUUGAUUCUGAUCCGAUCCGAGUGUAGUGUUGUGUUGAGCACUUGAGCUAGUCAAUGAUAGUAGAAUCAUGUUCAUCCUAGCAAACAACAAAAUAGAUAAAUGGUUAAAUCAAUGAUCAGAUUCGAUAACCAAAAUAUAAGAACAUACUAAAGAGUUGAAUCAUGUUACCAUUUCUUCCUCUUCAUCCUCCAAACAAGU
Molecule: long non-coding RNA, 329 nt
Filed under: Zea mays
Lineage: Eukaryota; Viridiplantae; Streptophyta; Magnoliopsida; Poales; Poaceae
Description: long non-coding RNA (ZMAY_LNC004881)
Source: RNAcentral